UACGGGGGGAGCGAGCGUUAUUCGUCAUGACUGGGCGUAAAGGUGAUCUGUAGGUGGUUUUGAAAAGGUUUGCUUGUAAAGCCUUUUGGGUAGUCAUUGGGAGUAUGGCGAUUAUCUUUUUUUGACUUAGAGUAUACUGGAUGAUUAAAGCAGUACCUUCAGAGGAGAGGUGGAAUUCGGAGAUACUGAUAGGGACUCGCAUUUGGUGAAAACGGCAUUCAUCGGUAUUACUGACGCUUGAGGGAUGAAAGCAUGGGGAGCAAACAGG
Molecule: ribosomal RNA, 268 nt
Filed under: uncultured bacterium
Lineage: Bacteria
Description: partial 16S ribosomal RNA
Rfam family: Bacterial small subunit ribosomal RNA
Source: RNAcentral